GUAGGUGGCAAGCGUUGUCCGGAAUUAUUGGGCGUAAAGCGCGCGCAGGCGGUCCUUUAAGUCUGAUGUGAAAGCCCACGGCUCAACCGUGGAGGGUCAUUGGAAACUGGGGGACUUGAGUACAGAAGAGGAAAGCGGAAUUCCAAGUGUAGCGGUGAAAUGCGUAGAGAUUUGGAGGAACACCAGUGGCGAAGGCGGCUUUCUGGUCUGUAACUGACGCUGAGGCGCGAAAGCGUGGGGAGCAAGCAGGGAUUAGAUACCCUGGUAGUCCACGCCGUAAACGAUGAGUGCUAAGUGUUAGGGGGUUUCCCGCCCCUUAGUGCUGCAGCUAACGCAUUAAGCACUCCGCCUGGGGAGUACGGCCGCAAGGCUA
This 373-nucleotide ribosomal RNA is filed under the name uncultured organism. Its description in RNAcentral is "partial 16S ribosomal RNA". It matches the Rfam family "Bacterial small subunit ribosomal RNA", at positions 527 to 896 of the family's 1533-position model. The record is from RNAcentral.